Long non-coding RNA from Asparagus officinalis (garden asparagus), 875 nucleotides. RefSeq lists it as uncharacterized. NCBI's taxonomy places the organism in Eukaryota, Viridiplantae, Streptophyta, Magnoliopsida, Asparagales, Asparagaceae. The record is from RefSeq and is a predicted model, not a curated record. The transcript is spliced from 2 exons.
CUACUUCCUUUCUUCCACAGAACCCAUCUUCUUCAAGCCCCGUUCUUCCAAGAACUCCUCUGCUUAAAGAGUUCAAAACAAGAUCAAAACUCCCCCAAGCUCUUUAAAUCCCUCAACUUCCUCAAAUCUACAAGCAAGGCAAGCUAGGGUUCGGCGAUCUUUUGACUUGGGUUCAAACAUCAGUUGAUCUUGGGCCUCUCUUCUUCUCAAUUCCUUUUUGAAUCCAGGAACCAAAGCUUCUUCUUUGGGAUUUUACAGUUUUCAAUUCGUCUCUUUUUUUCGCAAUUCCCCUUUGCUGAGCUCAAUUCUUCAUCCUCAGGUAAAUUCUCAUUCUCUUAUUCUCAAUCUUACUAAUUUUCUUUUUUUUUUAUAUUUUUUACUUUGGAGGAUAACUGAAACUCUGAGUUUAAUUCUGAAUGAGAACUGAUCUUGAAAUACUUGACCGUGAAUAUUGAUCUGAUUGCUUCAUGUCUGAAGUAUUUGUUUGAUUGUGUGCAAUUUUGGAUGAUAGCCAAUGCAUUGCUUUUAGUCUUGGACAAAACCCUUAACUUGACCGAGAUUGAACUCACAGUUAUGCAUGGGGCUUGGACCAAACUCGGGUAUUUUGAUGAAAACCGAAACUGGGUGUUGAUUUUAGGCAUAAACUGAGGCCACAGCUUGUAUUCCGUUUGAGAACCACAACUUGAGAUAUGUGUAUAAGGCGUUUGUCUUGGUUUCCGGGAAACAAAAGUGAGUCCUUGAACCUGAGUAUGGCCGAGAACUUUUGUCUUUUGAUUCUUGUAUGCCUUCGGUUUUGGACUUGGAUGUUGUAUGAGUUGAAGAAAGAUUAUGGUUGUUUAUGAAGUUAAUGAGAACUGAGUUUGUUGUUGUGCGGA